This 206-nucleotide long non-coding RNA is filed under the name Elaeis guineensis (African oil palm). RNAcentral describes it as "long non-coding RNA (EGUI_LNC067261)". The record is from RNAcentral. Lineage: Eukaryota; Viridiplantae; Streptophyta; Magnoliopsida; Arecales; Arecaceae.
UGACAUCUUAUUGAGCCAUUGUGAGAAAGCUAAUAGAAUCAAGAAAUGACAACAAGAUGCGAAUGCAUAAAGUUCAACGAAGCAAUCCAUGAAUCCAUAAGUGAAACAUGAUACAGAAGAGCCAACGGGGGAUUGACAUGUGCUAAGGGAUGAUGAUGUGGAUGACAUGUAUUACCGUCAAUCAACUUCAAGGACAAUGCGUAGGG